This 462-nucleotide ribosomal RNA is filed under the name Cyphophthalmus sp. 2 Bulgaria. RNAcentral's name for it is "partial 16S ribosomal RNA". Lineage: Eukaryota; Metazoa; Arthropoda; Arachnida; Opiliones; Sironidae. The record is from RNAcentral.
UUUUUAUAGAUUUUAGUUAUAAAUAAUGCCUGCUCAAUGAAAUUUAAAUAGCGGCGUAAGUCCUAAGGUAGCAUAAUCAUUAGCCUUUUAAUUAAAGGAUAGUAUGAAAGGUGAAACGAAUAGAUUUUAGUUUUAAAUCUAUAUUUCAAAAUUAAUUUAUAAGUUAAAAAGCUUAUAAAUAAAUUAGGGACAAGAAGACCCUAUAAAGUUUAACUUUUAAUUAAUCUUGCUAAGUGAAAUUAAAAUUUUUAUUGGGGCAAUACUAUAAGAGUAAAUUUUGUAGAUUAUUUAUUAUUGAUCCAUUAUUAAUGAUUAUUUGAAAAAAUUACUUUAGGGAUAACAGCACAAUUAAAGUUUUAAAGUUCAUAUUUACAACUUUGGUUAUGACCUCGAUGUUGGAUUAAUCUUCAUAAUGGGGUAGUACCUAUUUUAGAAAGUCUGUUCGACUUAUUAUUAAUUACA